RNAcentral lists this ribosomal RNA (591 nucleotides) under uncultured bacterium. RNAcentral's name for it is "bacterial SSU rRNA". It matches the Rfam family "Bacterial small subunit ribosomal RNA", at positions 334 to 916 of the family's 1533-position model. The record is from RNAcentral.
UACUCCUACGGGAGGCAGCAGUAGGGAAUCUUCCGCAAUGGGCGAAAGCCUGACGGAGCAACGCCGCGUGAGUGAUGAAGGUCUUCGGAUCGUAAAACUCUGUUAUUAGGGAAGAACAUAUGUGUAAGUAACUGUGCACAUCUUGACGGUACCUAAUCAGAAAGCCACAGCUAACUACGUGCCAGCAGCCGCGGUAAUACGUAGGUGGCAAGCGUUAUCCGGAAUUAUUGGGCGUAAAGCGCGCGUAGGCGGUUUUUUAAGUCUGAUGUGAAAGCCCACGGCUCAACCGUGGAGGGUCAUUGGAAACUGGAAAACUUGAGUGCAGAAGAGGAAAGUGGAAUUCCAUGUGUAGCGGUGAAAUGCGCAGAGAUAUGGAGGAACACCAGUGGCGAAGGCGACUUUCUGGUCUGUAACUGACGCUGAUGUGCGAAAGCGUGGGGAUCAAACAGGAUUAGAUACCCUGGUAGUCCACGCCGUAAACGAUGAGUGCUAAGUGUUAGGGGGUUUCCGCCCCUUAGUGCUGCAGCUAACGCAUUAAGCACUCCGCCUGGGGAGUACGACCGCAAGGUUGAAACUCAAAGGAAUUGACGG